UACACAUGCAGUCGAACGGUAGCACAGAGUAGCUUGCUCUCGGGUGACGAGUGGAGGACGGGUGAGUAAUGUCUGGGAAACUGCCUGAUGGAGGGGGAUAACUACUGGAAACGGUAGCUAAUACCGCAUAACGUCGCAAGACCAAAGAGGGGGACCUUCGGGCCUCUUGCCAUCAGAUGUGCCCAGAUGGGAUUAGCUAGUAGGUGGGGUAACGGCUCACCUAGGCGACGAUCCCUAGCUGGUCUGAGAGGAUGACCAGCCACACUGGAACUGAGACACGGUCCAGACUCCUACGGGAGGCAGCAGUGGGGAAUAUUGCACAAUGGGCGCAAGCCUGAUGCAGCCAUGCCGCGUGUAUGAAGAAGGCCUUCGGGUUGUAAAGUACUUUCAGCGGGGAGGAAGGCGAUAAGGUUAAUAACCUUGUCGAUUGACGUUACCCGCAGAAGAAGCACCGGCUAACUCCGUGCCAGCAGCCGCGGUAAUACGGAGGGUGCAAGCGUUAAUCGGAAUUACUGGGCGUAAAGCGCACGCAGGCGGUCUGUCAAGUCGGAUGUGAAAUCCCCGGGCUCAACCUGGGAACUGCAUUCGAAACUGGCAGGCUGGAGUCUUGUAGAGGGGGGUAGAAUUCCAGGUGUAGCGGUGAAAUGCGUAGAGAUCUGGAGGAAUACCGGUGGCGAAGGCGGCCCCCUGGACAAAGACUGACGCUCAGGUGCGAAAGCGUGGGGAGCAAACAGGAUUAAGAUACCCUGGUAGUCCACGCUGUAAAC
This 767-nucleotide ribosomal RNA is filed under the name Klebsiella oxytoca. Its description in RNAcentral is "bacterial SSU rRNA". It matches the Rfam family "Bacterial small subunit ribosomal RNA", at positions 50 to 807 of the family's 1533-position model. Lineage: Bacteria; Pseudomonadati; Pseudomonadota; Gammaproteobacteria; Enterobacterales; Enterobacteriaceae. The record is from RNAcentral.